GAUGAAGAACGCAGCGAAAUGCGAUAACUAGUGUGAAUUGCAGAAUUCAGUGAAUCAUCGAAUCUUUGAACGCACAUUGCGCCCUCUGGUAUUCCGGAGGGCAUGCCUGUUCGAGCGUCAUUAUAACCACUCAAGCUCUCGCUUGGUAUUGGGGUUCGCGGUUCCGCGGCCCCUAAAAUCAGUGGCGGUGCCUGUCGGCUCUACGCGUAGUAAUACUCCUCGCGAUUGAGUCCGGUAGGUCUACUUGCCAGCAACCCCCAAUUUUUACAGGUUGACCUCGGAUCAGGUAGGGAUACCCGCUGAACUUAAGCAUAUCAAUAAGCGGAGGA
Molecule: unclassified non-coding RNA, 329 nt
Filed under: soil metagenome
Description: partial contains 5.8S ribosomal RNA, internal transcribed spacer 2, and large subunit ribosomal RNA
Rfam family: 5.8S ribosomal RNA (bases 1-120)
Source: RNAcentral